This 531-nucleotide ribosomal RNA is filed under the name uncultured bacterium. RNAcentral describes it as "bacterial SSU rRNA". It matches the Rfam family "Bacterial small subunit ribosomal RNA", at positions 8 to 518 of the family's 1533-position model. The record is from RNAcentral.
AGAGUUGAUCCUGGCUCAGGAUGAACGGCUGGCGGCGUGCCUAAUACAUGCAAGUCGAACGAGGUGGAUGGGAGCUUGCUCCUUGAUGCCUAGUGGCGAACGGGUGAGUAACACGUAGGUAACCUGCCCUUAAGCUUGGGAUACCCAGAGGAAACUUUGGCUAAUACCGGAUAACAACAGAAGAGGCAUCUCUUCAGUUUGAAAGGCCCUGCAAGGGGUCACUUAAGGAUGGACCUGCGGCGCAUUAGCUAGUUGGUGAGAUAAAAGCCCACCAAGGCUAGGAUGCGUAGCCGACCUGAGAGGGUGAUCGGCCACAUUGGAACUGAGACACGGUCCAAACUCCUACGGGAGGCAGCAGUAAGGAGUUUUCGGCAAUGGGGGAAACCCUGACCGAGCAACGCCGCGUGAGUGAAUGACGGCCCUAUGGGUUGUAAAGCUCUGUUGUAAGGGACGAAUGAUUCGCUUAGGAAGUGAAGCGGACUUGACGGUACCUUACCAGAAAGCCACGGCUAACUACGUGCCAGCCGCUGC